RNAcentral lists this ribosomal RNA (397 nucleotides) under uncultured bacterium. RNAcentral's name for it is "partial 16S ribosomal RNA". It matches the Rfam family "Bacterial small subunit ribosomal RNA", at positions 523 to 918 of the family's 1533-position model. The record is from RNAcentral.
AUACGUAGGGGGCAAGCGUUAUCCGGAUUCACUGGGUGUAAAGGGAGCGUAGACGGAAGGCCAAGUCUGAUGUGAAAGCCCGCGGCUCAACUGCGGGACUGCAUUGGAAACUGGUCAUCUGGAGUGCAGGAGGGGUAAGCGGAAUUCCUAGUGUAGCGGUGAAAUGCGUAGAUAUUAGGAGGAACACCGGUGGCGAAGGCGGCUUACAGGACUGUAACUGACGUUGAGGCUCGAAAGCGUGGGGAGCAAACAGGAUUAGAUCCCCUGGUAGUCCACGCCGUAAACGAUGAAUACUAGGUGUCGGGUUUCUAUAGAGAUUCGGUGCCGCAGCAAACGCAAUAAGUAUUCCACCUGGGGAGUACGUUCGCAAGAAUGAAACUCAAAUGAAUUGACGGGG